RNAcentral lists this ribosomal RNA (301 nucleotides) under uncultured bacterium. RNAcentral describes it as "partial 16S ribosomal RNA". It matches the Rfam family "Bacterial small subunit ribosomal RNA", at positions 509 to 807 of the family's 1533-position model. The record is from RNAcentral.
CAGCAGCCGCGGUAAUACGGAGGGGGCUAGCGUUGUUCGGAAUUACUGGGCGUAAAGCGUACGUAGGCGGCUUUGUAAGUUAGAGGUGAAAGCCUGGUGCUCAACACCAGAACUGCCUUUAAGACUGCAUCGCUUGAACGUCGGAGAGGUGAGUGGAAUUCCGAGUGUAGAGGUGAAAUUCGUAGAUAUUCGGAAGAACACCAGUGGCGAAGGCGGCUCACUGGACGACUGUUGACGCUGAGGUACGAAAGCGUGGGGAGCAAACAGGAUUAGAUACCCCCGUAGUCCCUGUCUCUUAUAC